UUGCUGUGAUGACUAUCUUAGGACACCUUUGGAAUACCCAUGAAAAAAAUUAAGUUAUUUCUGAGCAAC
Molecule: small nucleolar RNA, 69 nt
Filed under: Falco tinnunculus (common kestrel)
Lineage: Eukaryota; Metazoa; Chordata; Aves; Falconiformes; Falconidae
Description: Small nucleolar RNA SNORD58 (ENSFTIG00000013643.1)
Rfam family: Small nucleolar RNA SNORD58
About the family: snoRNA U58 is found in introns 1, 3 and 6 of the ribosomal protein RPL17 gene in humans. U58 is a member of the C/D class of snoRNA which contain C (UGAUGA) and D (CUGA) box motifs.
Source: Rfam by way of RNAcentral